Molecule: small RNA, 477 nt
Filed under: Pongo abelii (Sumatran orangutan)
Lineage: Eukaryota; Metazoa; Chordata; Mammalia; Primates; Hominidae
Description: processed transcript
Source: RNAcentral
UCUUUGCAGGAUGACAGCAAGAAUGAGAAUCUGCUUGACCUGAACCAGAAGCUUCAGUUGCAGCUAAACCAGGAGAAGGCCAGCCUGCAGCUGGAAAGUGAAGAACUGAAUAUCCUCAUCAGGUGUUUUAAGGAUUUCCAACUGCAGCGGGCUAACAAGAUGGAGCUGCGAAAGCAGCAAGAAGAUGUGAGUGUGGUCCGUCGCACUGAGUUUUACUUUGCUCAGGCACGGUGGCGCCUGACAGAGGAAGAUGGACAGCUGGGAAUUGCUGAAUUAGAACUGCAGAGGUUCCUCUACAGCAAGGUGAAUAAGUCUGAUGACACAGCAGAACAUCUCCUGGAGUUGGGCUGGUUUACCAUGAACAACCUCCUCCCCAAUGCUGUCUAUAAGGUAAAUGUGGUGCCUCUCACCAUCCAGCUGACACACCAGUUCUUCCAUAGAAUGAUGGGCUUUUUCUUUCCUGGCCGAAGUGUGGAA